Molecule: ribosomal RNA, 758 nt
Filed under: uncultured Neocallimastigales
Lineage: Eukaryota; Fungi; Neocallimastigomycota; Neocallimastigomycetes; Neocallimastigales
Description: partial large subunit ribosomal RNA
Rfam family: Eukaryotic large subunit ribosomal RNA
Source: RNAcentral
AGAGAUGUGUGAUGACGCAUAUCAAUAAGCGGAGGAAAAGAAACUAACAAGGAUUCCCCUAGUAACGGCGAGUGAAGCGGGAAGAGCUCAAAUUUGAAAUCUUAAAGGGUUUCCCUUUACGAAUUGUAGUUUAAAGAAGUGUUUUCUGUUGGAGUUUCGGUAAAAGUUCUUUGGAAUAGGACAUCAUAGAGGGUGAGAAUCCCGUAUUUGACCGUUACUUUCCAGCUGUGUGAUACACUUUCAAAGAGUCGGAUUGUUUGGGAAUGCAGUCCAAAAUGGGUGGUAAAUUUCAUCUAAAGCUAAAUAUUGGCGAGAGACCGAUAGCGAACAAGUACCGUGAGGGAAAGAUGAAAGAACUUUGAAAAGAGAGUUAAACAGUACGUGAAAUUGUCAAAAGGGAGGCGUUUGACACCAGUGUUGUUUAGUUGAAAAUCAAUUCAAUAAUUUUUGAUUUUGAGUAGUAUUGACUUCAUCAGCUUGCUGCUUUCUUUUCAGAAAUUAUUGAAUGCACUUUUCAGUUAACAAGUCAACAUCAAUUUCUUUUGUUGUAAAAGGGUAAGAGGAAGGUGGCUUACGCUUCGGCGUAAGUGUUUAUAGCCUUUUACCUCUGCAAUCGGAGAGAUUGAGGUCUGCAGCGUAGAUCCUUCGGGGUUAGAUACAUUUGUGCUAAGUUAUAGCUUUUCAUAGACAACUUGUUGACUAUGUUUAGUCUUGUGACUUACUCGCUGAUGCUAUUUUACCUACGCUUAGGAUGUUGA